Molecule: long non-coding RNA, 1054 nt
Organism: Gadus morhua (Atlantic cod)
Lineage: Eukaryota; Metazoa; Chordata; Actinopteri; Gadiformes; Gadidae
Exons: 3
Source: RefSeq, a predicted model, not a curated record
UCUCGACGGGGAAACACAUCUCGACACAACACCGGUAACCAUAGCAGCGCCGGUAAAUAAACCCCGCUAAACCCAAUCCCUACGAAAGCUCCCCGCGCUUUAGGCCGUGAUAUUAUAUAUGUAAGGGAUAAUGUAUAGAACGACGGUCAUUAUCGAGAAAAUAUCGAUUGUGUUUGUGUAUGUGUUUGCAUAUGCAUGUGUGUGUGUUUAGGUAUGCGUAUAUAUAUGUAUAUGCAUCACCCAUCUUGAUGUUGGUUCUGUUUGUCUUGUUUUUGUCCUUAUUUUAACUAUAAGCGUCUAAAUGCAUUAGCACUUUGUAAUUAUUGUAUUUAUUGCAUUGUUAAUUUAUCCUGUGUCCUUCAACUGCUGCUGGGCUGUUCUGCAACAAACAAAUUUCUCCUACGGGAGAUUAAUAAAGUAUUAUCUUAUCUUAUCUUAUCUUAUACAUAUCCCGCAAAUUACAUUGACAAGUUACCGGACUUGCGGAUUGAUACUAAAAACGUUGUUAGAGGCAAAAAAAAUAAUUUGUUAUCAAAAUGAACACUUUCCUAGGUUUGCACUGUUUCGAAGGGAGGAAGGAGCAGGACCCGCACAAAGCAGCAGGAGGAGAAGACCACGGAGGACACAACUUUUGAUAAAGGUCUCCGUCCUUAAGCAGGACAUUGCGGUGUACCGCUGUACACAAGAAAUCUUAGUCACCUGCACAGUGGUACUGCAGGACACAAUGUCCCGCGAGGAGUUCCUGCACGCCCUCAGGGAUAAAGUGCCGUACAUGCCAGAGGCCUUCGACCUCUGCAGGCUCAUUGGCCGUAGAUUCAUCGUUCUGGUCGAUGUCUGCCCGAGAGACCUUCGGGGACGUGGCAUGAUGGGCCGGUCCAAUCUGUACAUCCGACCAAAGGUACCUCUGCCACCUGCUGGCCAACCCCAACCUGCCGGCCCAGAAACCCUGCACACCCUGCCCGGCCCUUCUCUACCUCCCAGCACUUCUCCACCUCCCAGCCGUUCUCCACCUCCCAGCCGUUCUCCACCUCCCAGCCGUUCUCCACCUGACAGC